CAGACAACUUGAUACAGAGUAACAGUAAAUCAGACGGAGCAGCUCCUUCGGCACCAGCAGUGAAACUGUAACCCUGUUGCAAGUAUUCCUGGCCGCCGAUAGCGCCGAGUGAGAUCACCGCGGUCUCUUUCCUCGGCUCGACUCGAGAGUUGUUCGGCGGGAGCAACGCAGGGACCUCUCAUUUCUCAUUUCUGCUCUAUCUCAAUUAUUCUAUCACACUGGAAAUGUCCGAAAACAAGCCGAGUGAUGAGCCGAAGUUAUCUACGACGGACAGGGCGGUGAAAUCUGUCCCGUUCCCCCCCAGUCACCGGCUGACAGCUAAAGAGGUGUUUGACAGCGAUGGGAAACCCAAAGUGGACGUGCUAAAAGCCCACCUCACCAAGGAAGGCCGCGUGGAGGAAUCGGUGGCCCUGAGGCUCAUCGCAGAGGGCGGCUCGAUCUUGCGUGCGGAGCAGAACCUGCUGGACAUCGAGGCUCCUGUUACAGUGUGUGGAGACAUCCAUGGGCAGUUCUUUGACCUGAUGAAGCUGUUUGAAGUGGGAGGAUCACCAGCAUCCACGCGCUACCUUUUCCUGGGGGACUACGUCGACAGAGGGUAUUUCAGUAUUGAAUGUGUGCUGUACUUGUGGGCCUUAAAGAUCCUUUACCCCAAAACACUGUUUUUGCUGCGUGGGAAUCAUGAAUGUAGACAUUUAACAGAGUAUUUCACAUUUAAGCAGGAAUGUAGAAUUAAGUAUUCAGAGAGGGUGUAUGACGCAUGUAUGGACGCCUUCGACUGCCUUCCCCUGGCUGCACUUAUGAACCAGCAGUUCCUGUGUGUACACGGAGGACUGUCUCCAGAAAUCACAAAUCUUGACGACAUCAGGAAAUUAGACAGAUUCAAAGAGCCCCCAGCAUACGGACCAAUGUGUGAUCUGCUGUGGUCCGACCCCCUGGAGGACUUUGGGAAUGAGAAGAGCCAAGAGCAUUUCACACACAACACAGUGCGAGGCUGUUCCUACUUCUACAGCUACCCUGCAGUCUGUGACUUUCUACAACACAAUAACUUAUUAUCUGUCAUCCGGGCCCAUGAAGCGCAGGAUGCUGGAUACCGCAUGUACAGAAAGAGUCAGACCACUGGCUUCCCAUCCCUUAUCACCAUCUUCUCUGCACCCAACUACCUAGAUGUCUACAACAACAAAGCGGCAGUGCUGAAGUACGAGAACAACGUAAUGAACAUCCGACAGUUCAACUGCUCACCUCACCCUUACUGGCUGCCCAACUUCAUGGACGUUUUCACCUGGUCCCUGCCCUUCGUCGGGGAGAAGGUGACUGAGAUGCUUGUGAACGUGUUGAGCAUCUGCUCCAGCGAUGAGCUGACGACUGACGAGGAGCUGGACGGACAGCAAAUAUAUCCCCCCAAAAAAGGUGCCACAGCUUCUGCCCGUAAGGAGGUCAUCCGCAACAAGAUUCGCGCCAUUGGCAAGAUGGCCAGGGUGUUUUCUGUGCUCAGAGAGGAGAGUGAGAGCGUGCUGACGCUGAAGGGACUGACCCCAACAGGCAUGCUACCAAGCGGAGUGUUGUCCGGUGGCAAAGAAAAGCUGCAGAAUGAAACCGCAGGUAUAAUCGGUUGUGCAAGUAUUCUGUUGUGUUUAUUUUUAUUUUUUCUGUGAGACCAGCUUAGAGUACCGUCCACCCUCUUAUGUUGAAUUCCAAACACUCCCUCAAUGAGUUUGACAAGCGGCCGCAGCCUUCUGGAAACGCCUUUUUUACAAAUACUUCAAAUUGACUGGGAACUCCUGACGAAAACGGUCACUUUAUUGUCCAAAUUGUGAGCACCAGUUGUGGAUCUCAGCGGUGCUCUGUCGGGAUAGACGCGGGACUCUCUGCGAUCCAAAAAGGAUGAAUUGGAAUUGACACAAGCAACUGUGAACGAAAGGGAGAUCACUGCCGUCUGCCUUUCCUUUACAAAACCAAGCAGAAAUCCAGACAACGUCCCUCUCCUCUCCCAGGUUCUCACGCAUCAGCGAGCGCUUUUUGUGUUGAACGCAAAAUCUCUUAUCUUCAUAAGAAUAGGUUCCUCGUUACUUUAAAGCCAGCGUCCGUGACUUUUGCUGGACAGCCAGUGGAAACCAGUAGCAAUCAUGGGAUAAUAGCAAAAUCUAAAAUGAGAGUUAAAGUAUGGUACGUUAAUUUUGUUACAGCAGGCUGUGUUCUAGCAUUUAAAAAAGUUGUUUUUCAUCAUUAGCCACUAGAAUCUUCUGGUUGGGGGAGUCUCCAGCAUCACACCCCCCGUCUUUAAUGGAGCUGAGCAAGAGUUAAGUCUGUUUGAUCACUUUUCAAUUCUAACAUCAAAGAAUGGGUCUUUAUUAAUUUCUGAAGUUCCAUAGUUUCCUUUCAAAGCACAUUAGUUUAAGCUUUAAGACAUUGGAAGAUAGAGAGAACGAUGGGGAAGCGCAGGUUCUGAGCCGGGCCCGCUUCUAAUUCCAUCGUGACCUCUGGUGGGAGGAGAAGUGACCAAAUUGGAAGGAAAUAACAUCUGGACGAAGUUGGCAAUUCUGCGUAUCUCGAUUAGGGAGUACGGGAUGCUCUCCUCUACGGAUGUAUAUGUACGUAAUAAACAAAGCUAUAAAUUCAUAGAAUGGAUCAUAUCCUACACAACCAGCGUCAUUAAUACAUGGCUUUUACCCCACAUUAACUUUUAUAUGUAGAGUUUCACGAGGACUUUGAAGCCAUAUGAUUAUGGAAGUUUAAGAGCAUUUGUAUCCAAGCCAAUCGUGAAGCAGCUGACACUGAGAACCCCGGUGAAGGCAGAGUGGCGUUCACAGAUUCCUGUUGCAACAUUGGUAGAAUCACAUUGCUCCCCUCCUUUUUAAGCAGACGCCAGUGUGCUUCUACUGUAAUGUUGAGUCCAUCAGCCAUUCCGUUCACACUGUGUGGCUCUCGUGCCUUACCUGUAACCUCAUCCUCAUGGUAGUGUGUCCCGUAGGCUUCAGUACUGUACAGCCGCUACUUUACUUUCACCUUCUGCCUCAUCCCUGUCUUUGUGUAACGCUGAUUUACAAUGUUGUACUGUAUUUGUGUGUGUGUGUAUGUAUAUAUAUAUAUAUAUAAUAUAUAUUUAUAUUAUAUAUAUAUUUAUAUUAUAUAUAUAUAUAUUUAUAUUAUAUAUAUUUUUAUAUAUCUAAUGUCAAGGAUGAUUGUAAGAAAUUGGUAAGUGGUUAAAACGUCAAAAGGUUUUCUCCCCUCCUCCCCCACCCCCCUCCUCCCUCGCACCUCACAAAAGUAAGCCAGAUAUUUAUUUAUUUUCAUAUUUCAUAUCAAAAGAUGGUAAUCCUGCAGUUCCAGCCACUGCCUCACGUUGCACACGACACAACGGCAACGCCGCUCCGUGCGUCUGCGGCGCCACCGCCGGGAAACCCACCACCGCACAUCAAUACACCGUUCUCCCAUUCGUCCGAUGUCGACACUCCUUUCUCCAUGUGUGGCCUGCUUUGCGUUAGUCGUGAAGAACUAAUCUAUUUCCAGCUUUAGCCCGUGGUUUCCACUGUCAGUGUCCGUCGUCGCCGUCUUCAUUCAUGUUCUCUCACCGCAUUGAUUCGGUUGUCGGACCUCGUCAGACUUUUCAAAGUACCUCAAAGACGCAAUCCUCUCCAGGAGGUCGCCACACACAUGUGCCACCUUCCCUUUUUACAGAUCUGGAACUCCUCUUACAGCUAAGGCUCAUCCCUCUCCUCUCCUCUCCCUCCUCCUCCCCCUCUCCUCUCUGCUAACAUCCAUGUGUCCUUUGCCAUACAAAUGUGGAGAUGACGUUAACCGCUGUUGCAUCGGUUGCCUUUGCUGCUCAUUGACUUGUACCUCGGACAAAAUGAACUCCUCUGCUCACUUCUCUCAUUCGUUUUGCAACCCCCCUUUUCUUCUCUUCAGCUACUAUUGAAGCUAUUGAGGCUGACGAAGCCAUCAAAGGCUUCUCGCCCCAGCACAAGAUCACCAGCUUCGCGGAGGCGAAGGGUCUGGAUCGCAUC
Pseudoliparis swirei is the source of this 4004-nucleotide RNA transcript. It is a transcript of the gene named protein phosphatase 3 catalytic subunit alpha, with no coding region annotated. The transcript has 15 exons. The record is from RefSeq and is a predicted model, not a curated record. NCBI's taxonomy places the organism in Eukaryota, Metazoa, Chordata, Actinopteri, Perciformes, Liparidae.